This 72-nucleotide transfer RNA is filed under the name candidate division LCP-89 bacterium B3_LCP. RNAcentral's name for it is "tRNA-Glu". It matches the Rfam family "tRNA". Rfam says of the family: Transfer RNA (tRNA) molecules are approximately 80 nucleotides in length. Their secondary structure includes four short double-helical elements and three loops (D, anti-codon, and T loops). Further hydrogen bonds mediate the characteristic L-shaped molecular structure. tRNAs have two regions of fundamental functional importance: the anti-codon, which is responsible for specific mRNA codon recognition, and the 3' end, to which the tRNAs corresponding amino acid is attached (by aminoacyl-tRNA synthetases). tRNAs cope with the degeneracy of the genetic code in two manners: having more than one tRNA (with a specific anti-codon) for a particular amino acid; and 'wobble' base-pairing, i.e. permitting non-standard base-pairing at the 3rd anti-codon position. RNAcentral also lists the same sequence under 2 other names. The record is from RNAcentral. Lineage: Bacteria; Pseudomonadati; candidate division LCP-89.
GGCGCGUUCGUCUAGCGGUUAGGACGCCGGCCUCUCACGCCGGUAACACGGGUUCGAUUCCCGUACGCGCUA